AUGCAGGACCACAAGACAAAGAAUACCCGUUUUGCUUGUCCGCUAAAGCAAUGG
This 54-nucleotide small RNA is filed under the name Arabidopsis thaliana (thale cress). RNAcentral's name for it is "ATSL023330". Lineage: Eukaryota; Viridiplantae; Streptophyta; Magnoliopsida; Brassicales; Brassicaceae. The record is from RNAcentral.